This 641-nucleotide long non-coding RNA is filed under the name Mytilus galloprovincialis (Mediterranean mussel). The record is from RNAcentral. Lineage: Eukaryota; Metazoa; Mollusca; Bivalvia; Mytilida; Mytilidae.
CAGUAGUAUACCGCUGUUCAAAACUCAUAAAUCCAUGGACAAAAAACAAAAUCGGGGUAACAAACUAAAACCGAGGGAAACGCAUUAAAUAUAAGAGGAGAACAACGACAUAGCACCGAAACGUAACACACACAGAAACGGACCAAGCAUCAGACAAAACACCACGAGAAUAACAAAUAUAACAUGAAAACCAAAUACAUGAAUUUGGGAUAGACAAGUACCGUGCCACGUCUUAUCUCAAUUUCUCAAAAAUAAGAGAAAACACAAACGACUCAACGUUAAAAUGCAACACACACAGAAACGAACAAUAAUAUAACAAUGGCCAUCUUCCUGACUUGGUACAGGACACUUUUAAAUGGGAAUAAAAGUGGUGGGUUGAACCUGGUUUUGUGGCAUGCCAAACCUCGCACUUUAAUGGCAAAGUUAAAUAUAACAUUGAAAUGACAACAUAAUAUUACAGGACUACAAUACAAAUUAAUAGGAGAACAUAUUAGACAAAGAAAAACAUGAUUAAUAGAUAACAAAAAGCAUCAGGUUUAAAAUUCAAUACGCCAAAAACGCGCCUUGUCCACACAAGACUUACAAGUGACGCCCAGAUAUAAAAGAUCGAAAGUGAAAAAAGUACAAAGUUGUACAACACU